AUUGAACGCUGGCGGCAUGCCUUACACAUGCAAGUCGAACGGCAGCACGGGAGCAAUCCUGGUGGCGAGUGGCGAACGGGUGAGUUAUGUAUCGGAACGUGCCCAGUCGUGGGGGAUAACGCAGCGAAAGCUGUGCUAAUACCGCAUACGAUCUAUGGAUGAAAGCGGGGGAUCGCAAGACCUCGCGCGAUUGGAGUGGCCGAUAUCAGAUUAGCUAGUUGGUGGGGUAAAAGCUUACCAAGGCGACGAUCUGUAGCUGGUCUGAGAGGACGACCAGCCACACUGGAACUGAGACACGGUCCAGACUCCUACGGGAGGCAGCAGUGGGGAAUUUUGGACAAUGGGCGCAAGCCUGAUCCAGCAAUGCCGCGUGCAGGAUGAAGGCCUUCGGGUUGUAAACUGCUUUUGUACGGAGCGAAAAGGCUCUCUCUAAUACAGGGGGCUCAUGACGGUACCGUAAGAAUAAGCACCGGCUAACUACGUGCCAGCAGCCGCCGUAA
This 500-nucleotide ribosomal RNA is filed under the name uncultured bacterium. Its description in RNAcentral is "partial 16S ribosomal RNA". It matches the Rfam family "Bacterial small subunit ribosomal RNA", at positions 30 to 523 of the family's 1533-position model. The record is from RNAcentral.